Long non-coding RNA from Lucilia sericata (common green bottle fly), 986 nucleotides. RefSeq lists it as uncharacterized. The transcript has 4 exons. Lineage: Eukaryota; Metazoa; Arthropoda; Insecta; Diptera; Calliphoridae. The record is from RefSeq and is a predicted model, not a curated record.
GAUUUUGACAUUUAUAUUGUAGCUUAUAUAAUAAAAAUUAGAAAAGAAGAUAUAGCUUUAUGUUACAAAAAAGUUAGCAGUCAAUAUAACCGUCAUUUUGGAGCCUUCGAAAUAUCGACUUUAGCUCCUUCUUUUGAAAUUAUUCCCUUCGAACAAAUAACUGGCCCUCCCGUGGAGAAAAUUACAACUUCUAUGGGAAGAAUAUUUACAAAAUUAAAAGAAUUCUAUCACAGUAUUUGGUAAUAUUAUGGAAUUUUAGGAAUCUUCAGAAACCGAUGAAUCUACAGUGGCUGAUCAUGAUUUGUACCUCCUCUUACAGGAUUGGAACCUUAAACAUCUUUAUAACCAUUUUAUUGACCACCAUAUUACGAUCAAGGUAUUAAAAAUACUCAAACUAAAACAUAUUGAUAUGCUUUUUUAUGGUCUUCCUAUCGGUGAUAUGGUAACAUUUGAAGAUGAAUUUGAAAAAUGGAAAAAGACGCAUAUUGAUGAAAGUACUAAUUUAGAAAAACCAAGAUGUUUUAACCAACAACAAUUUGUUUCCGUUCAGUCCAAGAUACUGAAAACGGCAAACAAAUUUUAAAAUAUUAUGAAAAGAAUAAAAUUCUUCAUGAGGGUCAUCGCAAUUUACUUAUUGACAGGAUUUCCAAAUAUAUAGAAGCAAAGGGCUAUAAAUUAUCAAUUUCGCAAUGUGCUGAUUUGGUAAGGAAAUCUGUAAAAUUUUUCCUUCAGAAGAAUUGGAAUAUUAUAAUACUGGGAAAAUAGGUAAACUUUACAACAAGAUAUUUAAUUUAAAACGAAGAAUCUGACACUAACUUGCUGAACUAGUUCCGGAAAAAGAUUCCAGUUUCGCUAUUCAAAUUCUUCGAAGUGGACACUAUAGUAACAAUGAAAUGGACUUAUAUUGGAGGAAAUGUUAUCAAUGUAGAUUUAAGCAAAUUAAGGAAUCAAAGUCUACAUCCGAGAUCUUAAAAUUAUGGCCUGAA